UACGUAGGGGGCGAGCGUUGUCCGGAUUUACUGGGCGUAAAGCGCGUGUAGGCGGCCCGUUAAGUGGGGUGUGAAAGCCCGGGGCUCAACCCCGGGACGCCGCCCCAAACUGGCGGGCUUGAGGACGGAAGAGGGGAGUGGAAUUCCUGGUGUAGCGGUGAAAUGCGUAGAGAUCAGGAGGAACACCCGUGGCGAAGGCGGCUCCCUGGUCCGUCCCUGACGCUGAGACGCGAAAGCGCGGGGAGCGAACGGG
RNAcentral lists this ribosomal RNA (253 nucleotides) under uncultured bacterium. RNAcentral describes it as "partial 16S ribosomal RNA". It matches the Rfam family "Bacterial small subunit ribosomal RNA", at positions 524 to 776 of the family's 1533-position model. The record is from RNAcentral.